RNAcentral lists this ribosomal RNA (465 nucleotides) under uncultured bacterium. Its description in RNAcentral is "partial 16S ribosomal RNA". It matches the Rfam family "Bacterial small subunit ribosomal RNA", at positions 28 to 507 of the family's 1533-position model. The record is from RNAcentral.
GACGAACGCUGGCGGCGUGCUUAACACAUGCAAGUCGAACGGAAAGGCCCUGCUUGCAGGGUACUCGAGUGGCGAACGGGUGAGUAACACGUGGGUGAUCUGCCCUGCACUUCGGGAUAAGCCUGGGAAACUGGGUCUAAUACCGGAUAGGAGCCAUUUUUAGUGUGAUGGUUGGAAAGUUUUUUCGGUGUAGGAUGAGCUCGCGGCCUAUCAGCUUGUUGGUGGGGUAAUGGCCUACCAAGGCGGCGACGGGUAGCCGGCCUGAGAGGGUGGACGGCCACAUUGGGACUGAGACACGGCCCAGACUCCUACGGGAGGCAGCAGUGGGGAAUAUUGCGCAAUGGGCGCAAGCCUGAUGCAGCGACGCCGCGUGGGGGAUGACGGCCUUCGGGUUGUAAACUCCUUUCGCUAGGGACGAAGCUUUUUGUGACGGUACCUAGAUAAGAAGCACCGGCUAACUACGUG